CAGUCAUAAUCGACAACACGCCGCAUAUCCUGUAAAAAUGAAAGUUUCUCUCUCUCAGCUCUCUGCAGGUGGAGGCGUCUGUCUCUCUGCUGCCUCCAGUGGCUCGUUCAGGCUAUCACAGGAUUGUUCUGAUCCUCAGCAGUGCCGCGCCAGUCAACUGGGCUCUGGUGGCUCCAGAGGUCAGAGGUCACGUCAGGGUCUAUUCGUCCAACAGCGUGAGUCUGCCGUACCGACCUCAAGCCCCCGGCCUCAGCAUGACCAGCACCGUGACCUCUGACCUCCUCAGCCCCCCCGACCUUCUAGAAUGGGCCAAUCAGAACGGCUUUCCCAAAGUGACCUCGUACACCGAGGCUGAUCUGGCCAAUCGCUUCGUCAUCAGGUUAAGGGAAGGUGGAAAAGAAGGGUCUUCAGACGGGGGGCAGGAUGACAUCAGCAGUGAGCCGCUCACCUGCCAGUGUGGGGGCGGAGCUCUUACUGUUACCGUGGAUACACAGAUGCUACAGGCUGCACUUUCCAGAGCACAAAAAGCAGAUAAGAAGCUGCUUCAGUCGGCUCAGCAGAUGCUGCAGGACAGUAAGACAAAGAUCGACAUCAUCCGUAUGCAGAUCCGUAAAGCUAUGCAGGCCACCGAACAGACAGAUGACACUCAGGGUAUGUCUCACUGCUACAGACAAGUUCUGUCUGUCUCACUCCCUCCGACAAAUGAGCGUUUAUCGGCUUAACAUGAUCAUAGAGCUCCUUAAUGGCUUAAACACAGUGUAAAGGUCCUUUAGCAUCGCUUUUCUCUGUUUGCCUCAUUGGAGGGAGUCUCAUCUCACGUAGUUGGACUUCUUCCGCAUUAGUCUUGUCCAUACUGCAUCUCAGGUUCACUUUAUAGUGAUAUUGUGAUAUAAGGCAACUAAAAUGAUCUCCAUCCAGUGUAAUAUUUCAUAUACGGUGAGGACAUGAAUCCAUAUGUUUUGCAAACCAGUCUGUCUGCUGUCAUCUUGUCAAACAGUCUAAUUCUGACAGACAAAUGACUGUCUGUAUUACCUGACUGCUGUUUGUCUGUUUAGACGUCAGAGCAUCUCAGAGACGGUUCAUCUUCUCAAGCUAUUAAAGGAAUAGUUCACCAAAAAUUUAAAUUCUGUCAGUUUAUUCCACAAAAGGAGAAAUAGGGCAUAAUGUUCAAAUGUGUCUUUACAGUGACAGUUCAAAGUGACUACGCCAAUAAAAAUGGAUGAAAAGCAUCAUAAAGCACAACAAUCAAAGUCUUAUAAAGAUUUAUGAGAUCUUUGUGACAGAAACAGACCCAUAUUUAAUUUGCUAUUCACUGAUCAUUUUC
Molecule: long non-coding RNA, 1324 nt
Filed under: Sinocyclocheilus grahami
Lineage: Eukaryota; Metazoa; Chordata; Actinopteri; Cypriniformes; Cyprinidae
Description: lncRNA (ENSSGRG00000016429.1)
Source: RNAcentral